RNAcentral lists this ribosomal RNA (551 nucleotides) under uncultured Glomeromycotina. RNAcentral describes it as "SSU rRNA". It matches the Rfam family "Eukaryotic small subunit ribosomal RNA", at positions 548 to 1098 of the family's 1831-position model. Lineage: Eukaryota; Fungi; Glomeromycota. The record is from RNAcentral.
UUGGAGGGCAAGUCUGGUGCCAGCAGCCGCGGUAAUUCCAGCUCCAAUAGCGUAUAUUAAAGUUGUUGCAGUUAAAAAGCUCGUAGUUGAAUUUCGGGGUCUGUCCGUCGGUCGGGCUUCACGGUCCGUACUGGUGUGAUGGGUUCCUACCUUCUGAAUAACCGGCAUGCCAUUCAGUUGGUGCGCCGGGGAAGCAGAGCUAUUACCUUGAAAAAAUUAGAGUGCUUAAAGCAGGCUAGUGCUUGAAUAGAUUAGCAUGGAAUAAUAAAAUAGGACGGCAUGGUUCUAUUUUGUUGGUUUCUAGGAUCACCGUAAUGAUUAAUAGGGAUAGUUGGGGGCAUUAGUAUUCAAUUGUCAGAGGUGAAAUUCUUGGAUUUAUUGAAGACUAACUUCUGCGAAAGCAUUUGCCAAGGAUGUUUUCAUUAAUCAAGAACGAAAGUUAGGGGAUCGAAGACGAUCAGAUACCGUCGUAGUCUUAACCAUAAACUAUGCCGACUAGGGAUCGGACGAUGUUAAUUUUUUAAUGACUCGUUCGGCGCCUUACGGGAAAC